This 1070-nucleotide ribosomal RNA is filed under the name Promicromonospora sp. CB 286373. RNAcentral describes it as "bacterial SSU rRNA". It matches the Rfam family "Bacterial small subunit ribosomal RNA", at positions 158 to 1242 of the family's 1533-position model. Lineage: Bacteria; Bacillati; Actinomycetota; Actinomycetes; Micrococcales; Promicromonosporaceae. The record is from RNAcentral.
GGGGUCUAAUACCGGAUAUGAACGUCUGCCGCAUGGUGGGUGUUGGAAAGUUUUUCGGUGGGGGAUGGGCUCGCGGCCUAUCAGCUUGUUGGUGGGGUAAUGGCCUACCAAGGCGUCGACGGGUAGCCGGCCUGAGAGGGCGACCGGCCACACUGGGACUGAGACACGGCCCAGACUCCUACGGGAGGCAGCAGUGGGGAAUAUUGCACAAUGGGCGAAAGCCUGAUGCAGCGACGCCACGUGAGGGAUGACGGCCUUCGGGUUGUAAACCUCUUUCAGCAGGGAAGAAGCGAAAGUGACGGUACCUGCAGAAGAAGCGCCGGCUAACUACGUGCCAGCAGCCGCGGUAAUACGUAGGGCGCAAGCGUUGUCCGGAAUUAUUGGGCGUAAAGAGCUCGUAGGCGGUCUGUCGCGUCUGGUGUGAAAUCCCAUGGCUCAACUGUGGGCUUGCAUCGGGUACGGGCAGACUAGAGUACUGUAGGGGAGACUGGAAUUCCUGGUGUAGCGGUGGAAUGCGCAGAUAUCAGGAGGAACACCGAUGGCGAAGGCAGGUCUCUGGGCAGUUACUGACGCUGAGGAGCGAAAGCAUGGGGAGCGAACAGGAUUAGAUACCCUGGUAGUCCAUGCCGUAAACGUUGGGCACUAGGUGUGGGGCCAGUUCCACUGGUUCUGUGCCGCAGCUAACGCAUUAAGUGCCCCGCCUGGGGAGUACGGCCGCAAGGCUAAAACUCAAAGGAAUUGACGGGGGCCCGCACAAGCGGCGGAGCAUGCGGAUUAAUUCGAUGCAACGCGAAGAACCUUACCAAGGCUUGACAUGUACGAGAAAGCCCCAGAGAUGGGGUUCUCUUUGGACACUCGUACACAGGUGGUGCAUGGUUGUCGUCAGCUCGUGUCGUGAGAUGUUGGGUUAAGUCCCGCAACGAGCGCAACCCUUAUCCUAUGUUGCCAGCGGGUUAUGCCGGGGACUCAUGGGAGACUGCCGGGGUCAACUCGGAGGAAGGUGGGGAUGACGUCAAAUCAUCAUGCCCCUUAUGUCUUGGGCUUCACGCAUGCUACAAUGGCCGGUACAG